AAUUGCAGAAUUCAGUGAAUCAUCGAAUCUUUGAACGCACAUUGCGCCCUGUGGUAUUCCGCAGGGCAUGCCUGUUCGAGCGUCAUUU
This 88-nucleotide ribosomal RNA is filed under the name Phialocephala fortinii. RNAcentral describes it as "partial 5.8S ribosomal RNA". It matches the Rfam family "5.8S ribosomal RNA", at positions 70 to 154 of the family's 154-position model. From Rfam's summary of the family: 5.8S ribosomal RNA (5.8S rRNA) is a component of the large subunit of the eukaryotic ribosome. It is transcribed by RNA polymerase I as part of the 45S precursor that also contains 18S and 28S rRNA. Functionally, it is thought that 5.8S rRNA may be involved in ribosome translocation. Lineage: Eukaryota; Fungi; Ascomycota; Leotiomycetes; Helotiales; Mollisiaceae. The record is from RNAcentral.